CAGUCGCCGCGGUAAUACGAAGGGGGCUAGCGUUGUUCGGAAUUACUGGGCGUAAAGCGCACGCAGGCGGUCUGUCAAGUCAGAUGUGAAAUCCCCGGGCUUAACCUGGGAACUGCAUUUGAAACUGGCAGGCUAGAGUCUUGUAGAGGGGGGUAGAAUUCCAGGUGUAGCGGUGAAAUGCGUAGAGAUCUGGAGGAAUACCGGUGGCGAAGGCGGCCCCCUGGACAAAGACUGACGCUCAGGUGCGAAAGCGUGGGGAGCAAACAGGAUUAGAUACCCGGGUAGUCCCUGUCUCUUAUAC
This 301-nucleotide ribosomal RNA is filed under the name uncultured bacterium. RNAcentral's name for it is "partial 16S ribosomal RNA". It matches the Rfam family "Bacterial small subunit ribosomal RNA", at positions 509 to 807 of the family's 1533-position model. The record is from RNAcentral.